UUUGCAUGUCAAGAACAGCAGAACUGAUCUCAGCAUUAGAACUGCUGCUCCCGAGGUGUAAA
This 62-nucleotide microRNA precursor is filed under the name Picea abies (Norway spruce). Its description in RNAcentral is "miR11556 stem-loop (pab-MIR11556)". Lineage: Eukaryota; Viridiplantae; Streptophyta; Pinopsida; Pinales; Pinaceae. The record is from miRBase by way of RNAcentral.